This 110-nucleotide ribosomal RNA is filed under the name Microlepidotus inornatus (wavyline grunt). RNAcentral describes it as "partial 16S ribosomal RNA". The record is from RNAcentral. Lineage: Eukaryota; Metazoa; Chordata; Actinopteri; Lutjaniformes; Haemulidae.
ACAUCAAUAACCCCAAAAACACAAGCAAAAUAUAAAUAAACCAUUCUUCCCCCCAAGUAUAGGCGAUAGAAAAGGGCCCCCGGAGCAAUAGAAAAAGUACCGCAAGGGAA